Jaculus jaculus (lesser Egyptian jerboa) is the source of this 111-nucleotide small nucleolar RNA. RefSeq annotates it as small nucleolar RNA SNORA11. NCBI's taxonomy places the organism in Eukaryota, Metazoa, Chordata, Mammalia, Rodentia, Dipodidae. The transcript has a single exon. The record is from RefSeq and is a predicted model, not a curated record.
UGGGUGUGCUCAGGACAGAAGGCUCCUCUAACACACCCAGGAGGAACCUGGCCAUUGUGUGAAGACGGUUACAAAAUGUGUGGUAUUCCUCUGAACAAAUACCAUAUAUGU